UGGGGAAUAUUGGACAAUGGAGGCAACUCUGAUCCAGCAAUUCUGUGUGUGUGAAGAAGGUUUUAGUACUGUAAAACACUUUUAGUAGGGAAGAAAGAAAUGACGGUACCUACAGAAGAAGCGACGGCUAAAUACGUGCCAGCAGCCGCGGUAAUACGUAUGUCGCGAGCGUUAUCCGGAAUUAUUGGGCUUAAAGGGCAUCUAGGCGGUUAAACAAGUUGAAGGUGAAAACCUGUGGCUCAACCAUAGGCUUGCCUACAAAACUGUAUAACUAGAGUACUGGAAAGGUGGGUGGAACUACACGAGUAGAGGUGAAAUUCGUAGAUAUGUGUAGGAAUGCCGAUGAUGAAGAUAACUCACUGGACAGCAACUGACGCUGAAGUGCGAAAGCUAGGGGAGCAAACAGG
Molecule: ribosomal RNA, 407 nt
Filed under: Verrucomicrobiota bacterium
Lineage: Bacteria; Pseudomonadati; Verrucomicrobiota
Description: Verrucomicrobia bacterium partial 16S ribosomal RNA
Rfam family: Bacterial small subunit ribosomal RNA
Source: RNAcentral